RNAcentral lists this ribosomal RNA (544 nucleotides) under uncultured Caulobacter sp. RNAcentral describes it as "bacterial SSU rRNA". It matches the Rfam family "Bacterial small subunit ribosomal RNA", at positions 120 to 698 of the family's 1533-position model. Lineage: Bacteria; Pseudomonadati; Pseudomonadota; Alphaproteobacteria; Caulobacterales; Caulobacteraceae. The record is from RNAcentral.
GGGAACGUGCCCUUUGGUACGGGAUAACUGAGGGAAACUUCAGCUAAUACCGUAUGUGCCCUACGGGGGAAAGAUUUAUCGCCAUUGGAGCGGCCCGCGUUGGAUUAGCUAGUUGGUGGGGUAAAGGCUCACCAAGACUACGAUCCAUAGCUGGUCUGAGAGGAUGAUCAGCCACACUGGAACUGAGACACGGCCCAAACUCCUACGGGAGGCAGCAGUAGGGAAUCUUGCGCAAUGGGCGAAAGCCUGACGCAGCCAUGCCGCGUGAAUGAUGAAGGUCUUAGGAUUGUAAAAUUCUUUCACCGGGGAAGAUAAUGGCGGUACCCGGAGAAGAAGCCCCGGCUAACUUCGUGCCAGCAGCCGCGGUAAUACGAAGGGGGCUAGCGUUGCUCGGAAUUACUGGGCGUAAAGGGCGCGUAGGCGGAUGUUUAAGUCGGGGGUGAAAGCCCGGGGCUCAACCUCGGAAUUGCCUUCGAUACUGGACAUCUUGAGUACGGGAGAGGUGAGUGGAACUCCGAGUGUAGAGGUGAAAUUCGUAGAUAUU